AGUGAACGCUGGCGGUAGGCCUAACACAUGCAAGUCGAACGGCAGCACAGUAAGAGCUUGCUCUUACGGGUGGCGAGUGGCGGACGGGUGAGGAAUACAUCGGAAUCUACUUUUUCGUGGGGGAUAACGUAGGGAAACUUACGCUAAUACCGCAUACGACCUACGGGUGAAAGCAGGGGAUCUUCGGACCUUGCGCGAUUGAAUGAGCCGAUGUCGGAUUAGCUAGUUGGCGGGGUAAAGGCCCACCAAGGCGACGAUCCGUAGCUGGUCUGAGAGGAUGAUCAGCCACACUGGAACUGAGACACGGUCCAGACUCCUACGGGAGGCAGCAGUGGGGAAUAUUGGACAAUGGGCGCAAGCCUGAUCCAGCCAUACCGCGUGGGUGAAGAAGGCCUUCGGGUUGUAAAGCCCUUUUGUUGGGAAAGAAAAGCAGCAGGUUAAUACCCCGCUGCUCGGACGGUACCCAAAGAAUAAACACCGGCUAACUUCGU
RNAcentral lists this ribosomal RNA (491 nucleotides) under uncultured bacterium. Its description in RNAcentral is "partial 16S ribosomal RNA". It matches the Rfam family "Bacterial small subunit ribosomal RNA", at positions 29 to 506 of the family's 1533-position model. The record is from RNAcentral.